Lynx canadensis (Canada lynx) is the source of this 1640-nucleotide long non-coding RNA. RefSeq lists it as uncharacterized. NCBI's taxonomy places the organism in Eukaryota, Metazoa, Chordata, Mammalia, Carnivora, Felidae. The transcript is spliced from 3 exons. The record is from RefSeq and is a predicted model, not a curated record.
CUCAUAGUGGAAAAGACAAGCGAGGCAUGGGUUGGCUCUGGAUUCAGAAAACAGCUGCUGAUUAGAUUCUGUGUCUGCGGGCUGAAUUCAUUCCGUGUUUUUCAGCAGCAGGAAUUCAAGAGGGAUGCCGCUGUUUGGGUUUCUGAUCGUGAUUUAUAUUUAUUCAGAGGAAUAACAGAGGGUGGAUCUGUUCCCGGCGCGAGCAUGCUCACAACCAGCCGACUCUCCCAUUAUCCAGCUGCCUAGUUUGGUGCUUCGAUGUACAUGUACAUUCCGUGUGCAUAUGUGUGUAUACAAACACGCACGCAUGCCUGGACGGACAUACGUAUGCACAGGUUAUUUUUUAAGGACAAUUCUUUCAAUAAGGUCUUUACCCCUUACUUGAAACAGGUGUUCAUGAAAAAAAUGCACAAAAUCCUGACUGACCGGAAUAAUUCAUGAAGAAGGGGCUGGAUCCGUGGGUCAGAGAACACAGGACCAGUUUGCCAUCCCAAGGCCGAAGUCUGGUGUCUCGGAUUUGGCCCUGCGUUGCCCACUCCUGCUGGAUCUUGUCCAGUCGAGGGACAAAACGUCUUGACAGCUUCCUGAAGAAUGGGAAGAAAGGAGGUUCUGAAAGCACAGAUUGAACUGCGUCGCCAGAGACUGAGGAAGCGGAUGCGGGCGGCGAGGGCUCCCCCACCAACAGGAGCCCCAAGGAGAGCCGGCGCUGGAGGUGUGCAGUCCCAAGAAGGGUAGAAAUGCCAGCCAUGAGCAAGAGCCCCCUACAGCAGCUCCCGAGCAGUCCGCCCAGGACCACCCAACGGAGGACACACAGCAGAUCUCUGUCACUUAGCAACCGCAAAAGCUGGAGCAAAGGCCGCAGAAGCUGAAGCGGCACGGGUCCAGAAGCUUUCAGAACAACCCUGAGGAAAGGGUCUACUGAAUUACAACCAGUUUUGCCAAUGCAUGUUAUGGGAAGAGACCCCCCCUCUCCACUGGAUCCCAUCAUACCUGGAUGCCUCAUGGACCUCGAAGAUCUCCUGUCUACUUUUUUAAGCAGAUUGUUCCUGUUCCAGCUCUGGUAGUUCUGGUUAACCUUCUCUAUGAGGAAAUGUUAACUUUUUUUUCUGUCCGAGUCCUGGAUGAGGCUGUCUUCCCUGAAACUGGGUCAUUUUAGGCUAGAGGCACCUCUGAACAUUGCUGUUUCUCGGAAGUUGCCCAGUUCGUGGCACACUUGUUUCCUAUGUGAACAGGGGUCCGCUUCUGACCGCUAUGUCUCCUGGUCGGCUCCGGGUGCCUUUCUCCCCUCCCCUGCCCUGUCCCAGGUGAGACUCGCACAGUGGGGACCCUGCCUCUCCUGGUGAGGACCAUGUGCUGUGGCCGGAUGUGCGAGAGAAAGUCUGGUCAGGUGGAAUGAAUGUCUUCGUAAGUUUGGGGGUGACAGGAGCAUGGCUUCAGCCCUGGGAGAAGGUAGCUUCGAGGAGGCUCACACUCACCUCAGCCAUCCCCCUGCUUCCAGCCUCAUACCCUUCCUCUCACCUCCUCGAGGACAGUUGUUCUUUUCUUCCUUCAGUUAAAAGUAACUUUGGUUGUUGUUUUCAUUAUUGAAAAGCAGCACAUCCUUGUUAUAAAAACAUCAGAAAUAUAGGCAAAAAAAAAAA